This 776-nucleotide non-coding RNA is filed under the name Pseudomyrmex gracilis. Lineage: Eukaryota; Metazoa; Arthropoda; Insecta; Hymenoptera; Formicidae. The record is from RNAcentral.
UAUGAAUUUAAUUUCUGUUUAAUAAUUAGUUUUGUAAUUAUAAUAUAGAUAAAAAUUAAUUUUAAAUAAUAUGUUAAGAGAUUAAUAUUUUAAUUAAUUUAUUCAUAUGAAAGUAUGGAUAGUAAUUUAUUUUUAUGUUAAAUUAAAUUAGUGCCAGCAGUUGCGGUUAGACUAAUUUAUUUAAAUUAAUUAUUGAUUAAUUUUAUAAUGAUUAAGGUUUUAUAUAUAAUAAGUUUAAUUAAAAUUUAAUAAUAUUUAGUGAAAUAUUUAUUUUAGGAUAAUUUAGGCUUUAAAAUUUUUAUGAGGAAGUUUAAUUAGUGACUAGGAUUAGAUACCCUAUUAUUUUAAUUAUUAGUUUAUUGAAUUAAGAGAUUAAAUGUUUAAAUCAUUAAAUUUUAGAAAUUUGGCGGUAUUUUUAUAGUUAGAGGAACUUGUCAAGUAAUUGAUAAUCCACGAUAAGAUUAACUUAAUUUUGUUUUACGUAUUGUUGUUUAUUUAAGAGUAAAUUAAUAGAUUUUAUUCAAGAAAUAUUUAGAUCUUAUAGUAAUUCAAAUCAAAGUGUAGAUUAGUUGAGAUUAGGUGAGUUACAUUAGUAUUAUUAGACGUUUGGAUUAAUUGAUUUAAUUUUAAUUAUGAAAUAGGAUUUAAUUGUAAAAUAAUAUAAUAAUUUUGUUUGAAUUUAAUUAGGAAUAUGUACAAAUUGCCCGUCAUUCUUGUCUAUAAGAUGAGAGAAGUCGUAACAUAGUAAUGGUACUGGAAAGUGUCGUUAGAUUAUA